Molecule: non-coding RNA, 235 nt
Organism: Callorhinus ursinus (northern fur seal)
Lineage: Eukaryota; Metazoa; Chordata; Mammalia; Carnivora; Otariidae
Source: RefSeq, a predicted model, not a curated record
GAAUGAGCUGGAAAGAGCCAUGGAUAUGGAGGCCAAAGACCAGCUGGCUAGAGAGAGGUUUUUGAUCUCUUCACAGGCUAUUAAGGGUCGAGAGUGCCCCAUGAUGUUUAUCCUAGCAAAACAGGCUCUUAUGGUGAGAGUGAACUUGAACGUCUCUAUUCCAGCACCACUCCCAUCCACUUCCCCUUGGAGAUAAAUCAGAAUAAAGACUAGCAGCUUUGGAGUCAGCCCUGGA